AUUGAACGCUGGCGGCAUGCUUUACACAUGCAAGUCGAACGGCAGCACGGACUUCGGUCUGGUGGCGAGUGGCGAACGGGUGAGUAAUACAUCGGAACGUGCCCAGUUGUGGGGGAUAACUACUCGGAGGAGUAGCUAAUACCGCAUGAGAACUGAGGUUGAAAGCAGGGGAUCGUAAGACCUUGCGCAACUGGAGCGGCCGAUGGCAGAUUAGGGAGGUGGUGGGAUAAAAGCUUACCAAGCCGACGAUCUGUAGCUGGUCUGAGAGGACGACCAGCCACACUGGGACUGAGACACGGCCCAGACUCCUACGGGAGGCAGCAGUGGGGAAUUUUGGACAAUGGGCGAAAGCCUGAUCCAGCAAUGCCGCGUGCAGGAUGAAGGCCUUCGGGUUGUAAACUGCUUUUGUACGGAACGAAAAGCUUCGGGUUAAUACCCUGGAGUCAUGACGGUACCGUAAGAAUAAGCACCGGCUAACUACGUGCCAGCAGCCGCCGUAA
RNAcentral lists this ribosomal RNA (500 nucleotides) under uncultured bacterium. Its description in RNAcentral is "partial 16S ribosomal RNA". It matches the Rfam family "Bacterial small subunit ribosomal RNA", at positions 30 to 523 of the family's 1533-position model. The record is from RNAcentral.